UUCAACACUUCACAACCUGCACUAGUCAUUACAUGAACUCUUUGUGUCUUCUCAUUGUUUCUAAUUGUACAGAUGGAUGAUUCACUCGGAUCAAAAGAGCAUGCCAUCUCCAUCACGUGUACUCCCUGCAUGCACAUCUAAAACCCUUACUUUCUUGGAUACCAUCUGAGCUACACAUUUUUCUUGGCACCUCCAACAUAACUUGCAGUGCCCUCGGAAAGACUGAUGCUGAAGCGAUGGUUGAGACUUCCUGUCACAAUGAACAGAAUUUGCAAGAAGAGGGUUCUGCUCUUUAGUCUGGCCCUGAAUGUGCUCAUCUCGCUCUGCUGUAUUUUGUUCUUCUAUGCGAGUCUUGGAUGCAAAAAUAGUUACAUUAAAUAUGAAAGUUUACCUGAGUGUCAGUGUGAGACGAUGCUUGGUUUAUCAUCAUCACAAGACACAGUUGAGCAGAUGGAGGAAUCUAUAACAUUUUUGAAUCAAACAACAAAGAAGAACUGAUGCAGCAUCACCCAAACAUACCUGUGAGAAUUAUCA
Molecule: non-coding RNA, 534 nt
Organism: Cherax quadricarinatus
Lineage: Eukaryota; Metazoa; Arthropoda; Malacostraca; Decapoda; Parastacidae
Source: RefSeq, a predicted model, not a curated record